Molecule: ribosomal RNA, 494 nt
Filed under: uncultured bacterium
Lineage: Bacteria
Description: partial 16S ribosomal RNA
Rfam family: Bacterial small subunit ribosomal RNA
Source: RNAcentral
GACGAACGCUGGCGGCGUGCUUAACACAUGCAAGUCGAACGGUGAAGCGCCUUCCUUUUUGGUGGGUGUGGAUGAGUGGCGAACGGGUGAGUAACACGUGAGUAACCUGCCCCCUUCUUCUGGAUAACCGCAUGAAAGUGUGGCUAAUACGGGAUAUUCUGGGUCUGUCGCAUGAUGGGUCUGGGAAAGAUAUUGUUUCGGUGGGGGAUGGGCUCGCGGCCUAUCAGCUUGUUGGUGGGGUGAUGGCCUACCAAGGCGGUGACGGGUAGCCGGCCUGAGAGGGUGGACGGGCACACUGGGACUGAGACACGGCCCGGACUCCUACGGGAGGCAGCAGUGGGGAAUAUUGCACAAUGGGAGCAAGCCUGAUGCAGCGUCGCCGCGUGAGGGAUGGAGGCCUUCGGGUUGUGAACCUCUUUCGCCAGUGAAGCAGGCCUGCCUCGUUUGUGGGUGGGUUGACGGUAGCUGGAUAAGAAGCGCCGGCUAACUACGUG